GCAAACCGAAGGAUUUAUCCUUCGGGGUUGUGGACCGACACAACGGCAGGAUAGGUUAGCCGAACGGUAUGGGAAGGCCGGCCAUAGCGGGUGAGAGCCCCGUAGGCGAAAACCGAAUCUUGUUAGUCGAGUUCCAGAGUACCGCCGGACACGUGAAACCCGGUGGGAAACUGGGGGGACCACCCUCCAACCCUAAAUACUACCUGAUGACCGAUAGAGGAGCAGUACCGUGAGGGAAAGGUGAAAAGGACCCCGGGAGGGGAGUGAAAGAGAACCUGAAACCUUGUGCUUACAAGCACUCAAAGCACGUUAAAGUGUGAUGAGGUACCUUUUGUAGAAUGGUCCGGCGAGUUAUUGUUACUGGCAAGCUUAAGGUAUUCAGUACCGGAGGCGAAGGGAAACCGAGUGUGAACAGCGCGUAUGAAGUCAGUGGCAAUAGACCCGAAACCGGGUGACCUAUCCAUGGGCAGGUUGAAGUGGGGGUAAAACCCCAUGGAGGACCGAACACACGCCCGUUGCAAUGGUCGGUGAUGACCUGUGGAUAGCGGUGAAAUUCCAAUCGAACUCGGAGAUAGCUGGUUCUCCCCGAAAUAGCUUUAGGGCUAGCGUUAACUUAGAUUACCGGAGGUAAAGCACUGAAUGGGCUAGGGGCCGAUAAGGUUACUGAACCCUAUCAAACUCUGAAUGCCGGAUAAUUGAUGGUUAGCAGUCAGUCUACGUGAGAUAAGUCUCGUGGACAAAAGGGAAACAGCCCAGACCCACAGCUAAGGUCCCAAAGAUACGCUAAGUGGAAAACGAUGUGGAGUUGCGAAAACAACCAGGAUGUUGGCUUAGAAGCAGCCACUCAUUAAAAGAGUGCGUAAUAGCUCACUGGUCGAGUGACUCUGCGCGGAAAAUAUAACGGGGCUAAGCGUAACACCGAAGCUUGGGCUUGUCGUAAGACAGGGGUAGGGGAGCGUCGUGUACGGGGUGAAGUCGCAGCGGAAGCAGCGGUGGACUUUACACGAGUGAGAAUGCCGGAAUGAGUAGCGAGAAUUAUGUGGGAAUCAUAAUGGCCGAAAAUCUAAGGUUUCCUGGGGAAGGUUCGUCCGCCCAGGGUAAGCCGGGAGCUAAGGCGAGGCCGAGAGGCGUAGUCGAUGCACAUACGGUUGAAAUUCCGUAGCCACCGAACCUUAAGCACACUGACACAUGGAGAUAGCGGGACCCGGGCGUUGGUUGACCCGGGCG
Molecule: ribosomal RNA, 1227 nt
Filed under: Flavonifractor sp. An112
Lineage: Bacteria; Bacillati; Bacillota; Clostridia; Eubacteriales; Oscillospiraceae
Description: bacterial LSU rRNA
Rfam family: Bacterial large subunit ribosomal RNA
Source: RNAcentral